CAAUAGCGUAUAUUAAAGUUGUUGCAGUUAAAAAGCUCGUAGUUGGAUUUCUGGUGGGAGCGAUCGGUCUGGCGCUUAGCGCGAGUACUUGCAUCGUCUCCGGCCAUCCUUGGGGAGAGUCUGUCUGGCAUUAAGUUGUCGGGCAGAGGAUCCUCAUCGUUUACUGUGAAAAAAUUAGAGUGUUCAAAGCAGGCUUAUGCCGUUGAAUAUAUUAGCAUGGAAUAAUAAGAUAGGACUUUGGUACUAUUUUGUUGGUUUGCGCACCAAAGUAAUGAUUAAUAGGGACAGUUGGGGGUAUUCGUAUUCCGCUGUCAGAGGUGAAAUUCUUGGAUUUACGGAAGACGAACUACUGCGAAAGCAUUUACCAAGGAUGUUUUCAUUAA
This 383-nucleotide ribosomal RNA is filed under the name uncultured eukaryote. RNAcentral describes it as "partial 18S ribosomal RNA". It matches the Rfam family "Eukaryotic small subunit ribosomal RNA", at positions 592 to 976 of the family's 1831-position model. The record is from RNAcentral.